RNAcentral lists this ribosomal RNA (468 nucleotides) under uncultured bacterium. Its description in RNAcentral is "partial 16S ribosomal RNA". It matches the Rfam family "Bacterial small subunit ribosomal RNA", at positions 28 to 507 of the family's 1533-position model. The record is from RNAcentral.
GACGAACGCUGGCGGCGUGCUUAACACAUGCAAGUCGAACGGAAAGGCCCUGCUUUUGUGGGGUGCUCGAGUGGCGAACGGGUGAGUAACACGUGAGUAACCUGCCCUUGACUUUGGGAUAACUUCAGGAAACUGGGGCUAAUACCGGAUAGGAGCUCCUGCUGCACGGUGGGGGUUGGAAAGAUUCGGCGGUUGGGGAUGGACUCGCGGCUUAUCAGCUUGUUGGUGGGGUAGUGGCUUACCAAGGCUGUGACGGGUAGCCGGCCUGAGAGGGUGACCGGCCACAUUGGGACUGAGAUACGGCCCAGACUCCUACGGGAGGCAGCAGUGGGGAAUAUUGCACAAUGGGCGGAAGCCUGAGGCAGCAACGCCGCGUGCGGGAUGACGGCCUUCGGGUUGUAAACCGCUUUCGCCUGUGACGAAGCGUGAGUGACGGUAAUGGGUAAAGAAGCACCGGCUAACUACGUG